AUUGAACGCUGGCGGCGUGCCUAACACAUGCAAGUCGAGCGGUAACAGGUGUAGCAAUACAUGCUGACGAGCGGCGGACGGGUGAGUAACGCUUGGGAAUCUGCCUAUUAGUGGGGGACAACCCGGGGAAACUCGGGCUAAUACCGCAUACGCUCUACGGAGGAAAGCCGGGGACCGCAAGGCCUGGCGCUAAUAGAUGAGCCCAAGUCGGAUUAGCUAGUUGGUAGGGUAAUGGCCUACCAAGGCGACGAUCCGUAACUGGUCUGAGAGGACGACCAGUCACACCGGAACUGAGACACGGUCCGGACUCCUACGGGAGGCAGCAGUGGGGAAUAUUGGACAAUGGGCGAAAGCCUGAUCCAGCGACGCCGCGUGGGUGAAGAAGGCCUGCGGGUUGUAAAGCCCUUUCAGUGGGGAAGAAAAGCCUCGACCUAACACGUCGGGGUCUUGACGUAACCAUAGAAGAAGCACCGGCUAACUCUGUGCC
Molecule: ribosomal RNA, 487 nt
Filed under: uncultured bacterium
Lineage: Bacteria
Description: bacterial SSU rRNA
Rfam family: Bacterial small subunit ribosomal RNA
Source: RNAcentral